AGUGAAUAGAUACCCGGUAGUCCUAGCCGUAAACGAUACUCGCUAGGUGUCGGCCACGGUGCGACCGUUGUCGGUGCCGUAGGGAAAGCCGUGAAGCGAGCCACCUGGGAAGUACGGCCGCAAGGCUGAAACUUAAAGGAAUUGGCGGGGGAGCACCACAACGGGUGGAGCUUGCGGUUUAAUUGGAUUCAACGCCGGAAAUCUUACCGGGACCGACAGCAACAUGAAGGCCAGGCUGAAGACUUUGCCGGAUUAGCUGAGAGGUGGUGCAUGGCCGUCGUCAGUUCGUACUGUGAAAGCAUCCUGUUAAGUCAGGCAACGAGCGAGACCCACGCCCACAGUUGCCAGCGUACUCUCCGGAGUGACGGGUACACUGUGGGGACCGCCGCUGCUAAAGCGGAGGAAGGAAUGGGCAACGGUAGGUCAGUAUGCCCCGAAUAUCCCGGGCUACACGCGAGCUACAAUGGUUGGUACAAUGGGUAUCUACCCCGAAAGGGGAUGGAAAUCUCCUAAAGCCAAUCUUAGUUCGGAUUGAGGGCUGCAACUCGCCCUC
RNAcentral lists this ribosomal RNA (553 nucleotides) under uncultured bacterium. Its description in RNAcentral is "bacterial SSU rRNA". It matches the Rfam family "Archaeal small subunit ribosomal RNA", at positions 724 to 1275 of the family's 1478-position model. The record is from RNAcentral.